GAGGAGACAUUCUGACUGGAGACUUUCAGUUCGCCCACCACUGCUGGGUGUUUUAAGCAUUUCAGUUUGGCAGUAAACAUAAAAAGUUUAGUUACAGAGGCGUAAGCCUGGAAUACUCAGUGACGGGCUCACUGCCAUGAAUAAUUGUGACAAAACAACAGCUGCUACGAGAUCAUGAGGCAGUGAGCCCCACCUCAGUACACUUGUGUCCCACCUAAGGACUUUCCAAAGUUCGGGGAAACCAGGCCAGCUGAGCGUUCAAAUCGACACUCCCAUCACACUCCAGGUAUGUAUUUUAUUGGCGAGAACGAUGACUAACUAGUGGGCUGACUUACAUGCAAGUUCCUACUUGGCCUUUUUCCUGUCAGCAAAAUUUACUACUGUCUUCUAACUCUCCUCCUACUUCAGUAUUAAAAAUUGUUACUCUCCCAGCAGUAAAGCACAUCCAGCCAAGUGACAAGCAAAGAAAUGUUAAGGAGAAGUACACAGACAAUAUGGGCUGGACUUUACCAGGAAGAACAAGAGCACAUACUGGCCAGGAAGUGUUGCAAGGAAGGAAUUUUCUAGAGCCUUAUGCAAACCUCAGUUAUUAUCCUGGGCAAUGUUGCAAUUUCACUUCUGGUUUAUAUUAACUAGUACUAGAAAUACAUAAGGAAUGACCUAAUUCUUUUCCUUUCAUUAGAACUCUACACUGGUAGGCUGUUUCACUUACUAAUUUAAAAAAAUCAACAUUGAGUAUCCCUUUGAGCUCAACACUGACUUAAGUUUUGAAAUAUGUCAUUACAAUAUUUAAUAAAUAUGGAUUCCUUUUUUUUAGCAUUUAUUCAUUUUUGAUAGAUAGAGACAGAGCAUGAGUGGGGUAGGGGCAGACAGAGAGGGAGACACAGAAUCCGAAGCAAGCUCCAGGCUCUGAGCUGUGAGCACAGAGCCUGACGAGGGGCUCGAACUCACAAACCAUGAGAUCAUGACCUGAGCUGAAGUCAGAUGCUCAACCGACUGAGCCACCAAGGCACCCCAAAUAUUGAUUCCUUUUAAAAAGUUUUUUGAGAUGUAAUCUUACAUUCCAUGAAAUGCACCCAUUUUCAGCGUACAAUUUAAUAACUUUUAGUAUGUUGACAGAGUCGUGCAAAUAUCACCACAAUAAGAAUUCAUUUUUGAGCUUUUUUUUUUUGAAGAUGUUUUUUAAGUUCAUUUAUUUUGAGGGAGAGAGCCUGCAUGAGCAGGAGAGGGGAAAGAGACGGGGGGGGGGGGGGGGGGGAGAGAGAGAGGAAUCCCAAGCAGGCUCUGCACUGUCUGCUUGGAGCCCAACAUGGGGCUCGAUCUCACAAAUGGGGAGAUCAUGACCUGAGCUGAAAUUAUGAGUAGGAUGCUCAACUGACUGAGCCACCCAGGCAGGUUCCCCUGAAGAUUUUCUUUUUAAGUAAUCUUUGCACCCAGUGUGGGGUUCGAAUUCACAACCCUGGGAUCAAGAGUCAUGUGUCCCUAUUAUAUGCUCUUGAAAAUUAUCUACUGAAAAAUUCAAAUAAAAAAACAAGCUCAGGGGCACCUGGCUAGCUCAGUCCGUAGAGCACAUGACUCUUGAUCUCAGGGUUGUGGGUUUGAGCCCCAUGUUGACUGUAGAGAUUAGUUAAAAAUAAAAUCUUUAGUAGGUUCCGGACUGGCUCAGUCAGUAAAGCACAUGACUCUUUUGAUUUCAGGGUUGUGAGUUCAAUCCCGUGUUGGCUGUAGCAAUUACUCAAAAAAUAAUAAUAAUAAUAAUAAAUGAAAUCUUUUUUUAUUUUACAAAAUUUUUUAAGUGGGCUCCAUGCCCAACAUAGGGUUUGAACCCACGACUCUGAGAUCAAGAGUCACAUGCUCUACUGACUGAGCCAGUCAGGCACCCCCUAAAAUAAAAUCUUUAAAAAAAAAAUAAUUUUCAAGAGUAAAUGAUAAGCCACAAAAAGGUUUGUAUUCCAAGUUAUUAAUUAAACUUAUUAUCCAGUUUUACUUGAGUGGCCAGAGGUCUCUCACACUGCUCUUUCAGAAACCUGUGUUUGGAGAAACAGUGUGUCCAGAUAAUGUGAUUUAUUGUUAUAGCACAUUCUGUAGUUUGACUACUACUUGAUGUCCCUGAAGUAAAUGAGCACUGAGUAAGGAGGGGACUAUGCCCUCACAUACAGUAGCUGGCAACCAAGAGACUCUUAAAGUUACUAAUGAGUUCUUUUGGAGAUCCAAAGAAUCAGCUAUUUUUAAUGAUUCUUGAUAGCACACAAGGGAAGUCCCCUCAUGGAUCAACAAUGUCAAGUAUUUCUACUUUUGCUUUCAGCCCUGAUUCUAAUUCCCUCCACUCACCCACCUCUCUCACUGUGACCUUGAAGUAUAGAACAAAUCUCUUUCCAGUUCUUCCCUUUCCCACAUGGAUCUCUAUGACCUUGAUUUUGGCUUUAUUUGGUUUGCUUUCCUUUCAUGCUUGAAAUGAUUCUUUAUCCACUUUCUCUGUCAAAAGUCAUCUUUAUUGCUGUCUCCUUCUCCCCUCUCUUCACAAUCUAUUCUGACAGCAUAUACUGAAAGUUUUGCUUAUACUCAGAAAUUUGAAACUUGGUGUGAGGAGUUUCUGAACUCUGGUUCUGUAGUUAGCUCUUUCAGGAUUUUGCAUUCAAAAUCUCACUCUUAAGCUUCCCACUCUCACCAUCACCUCCUGCUGCCAUCUGAGCUCUGACUUCAAUAAUUCUUCCUUAUUCCAAUGGAUGUAUGGUCCAUUGAUCCUAGAACCAUUUCACUGUCCACAACGUCCUCAUGUCUGUCCUUAACCAGCUUCUAUCCAUGAUUCAUUACUACCUACACCUGACCCUCCUUCAGACUUGCCUGGCAAAACCUAAACCCAUGGCAAAAAAUUGUCCACCUUUGCACCAAAAUGAACCAGCACUUUCAAGACCUUGGUUUUAGCCCUUACAACUCAUUUAUGCACUUGACCAUGGCAAGAGGAAAACAGCCAAUCAUGUGGAGUGGCUCACAUAAAAUUAUGACCACUAACCCCAAGGCUGCCUUUAGUGCUGCCUGACAAUCCUAUCAUAUUUCCCUAAAUAGUUCACUUUCCACUCACCAAGACAACUGUUUCACACCUUCUCUUCUCGCCUCAAACCUCACACAGCUGAUGACCCGAUCUCCCAUUUUCCUAAGAGAAGCAACCAGAAAAAAUGUCUUCCAUGUGCUCUGAUCACCAACCGCAUUUAUCAUAUUCUCUGCCUUCCCACAUGGUGUCACAGAUAAACUAUUAAGCUCCUGUCCAAGGUCAUCAUCUCCACUUGGACACUAGAUCCAAUUUUCUCUCAUCUACUCAAAGACAUUGCUACAGAAUUAUCCCUCUCUCCUGAAUAGUCAAAUUGUCCUCUCCACUAGAUCAUUGCCAUCACCCUAUCAAUAUAUUCUAAAAUAUCCUUAUCUUAACACAGGACAGCAUUUACCUUUCAACUCCACAUCUCCCCCUUGGCUAUUACCUUACCUCUCUGCUUUCUUGUAAACAAAACUUAAAAAAUGUCUAUACACACUGUCUCCACUAACUCUCUCUCUCAUUCCCUUUUGAAUCUAUUCCAAUCAUGUUUUCACCACAACCAUAACUUUUGUCAAGGUCACCUGCGAAGUCCAUGUUGUUAAAUCCUGUGGUCAUUCUGAGUCCUCCUCUUACCUGAUCCCCUAGCAACAUUUGCACAGCUGAUCUUUCUCUCCUCCUUCCAACACUUUCUUCACUUGGCUUCCAAGAGAACACCCUUACUUCUCCUCCUGUCUCACUGGCUGCUCCUACUCCGUCCCUUUGGCUAGUUCCUGCUCAUCUGCCUGACCUCUAUGGAUGGAGUGAGUGCCUCAAGGGUUAGUUCUUAGAACCUUCUCUCUUCUCUAUAUUCUACCCCCACCCUGACGAUCUUAGGCAGCCUGUACCUUUGAAUACUGUCACUAAGCUGAUGAUGAUUCCUAAAUGUACAUCUCCAGACAGAUCACUCCCUUGAACUCCAGAUCCAUAUAUUCAAUUGCCUACUUGAAUCUCCAAUGUAUAUUCUUAAGCACAUUAAGUGUAUAUGUGCAAAAGAGAAUGCAUGUACAUGACUCCGCCUGCCCUAAAGCUAUAUCCCCUUACAGUCUUCUCCAUCUUAGCAAAUAGCUUAUCAGCUGCGCUGCCGAAACCUUUGGCUUUACCGUGAUUCCUCCCUAUCUCUCACACUCUUAUGUUCAAGCUGUUGACAAAAUCGGCUAGCUUUGGCCUCAAAAUAUAUCCAGAGUUCCACCACUUUCAUCACCAUUAUCAUUAUUCCCCUAGGCCAGGAUUCUGUCACCUCUUGCCUGCACUAUGGCAGCUGCCUCCUAAUUGAUCUUGCUUCCAACUUAGACUCUCUAUAACCUUAUAGCCACAGCAACAGAGAGAUUCUGAUCGCAUCCCUCCUCAGCUUAAAACAUUCCAAGACUGCACUGGUUUCCUAUCUCAAAGAAAAAUCUCCCAUCAAAGUCUUUACAUGAACUUCAAGCCCUAUACGAUCUCAUUCCCCUUAUCUCUCUGACCUCAUCUUUUACCAUUCUCCUCCUUACUGUGUUCCAGCCACAUCUGCUUCCUUGCUAUUUCUCAAAGCCACACUCAACCACUGUUUCAAGGCCUCUGCACUUUUCCCUCUCUUUUUUGGCAAGGGUCCUUCUUUUAUAAGGUUCUGGUCCACCCUCCCCCUUCUCUUCCCCCCUUGUUCCUUCCAUUUCCCAAAUAUCUUCAUGAGUUGUUCCCUCAUUUCCUUGAGUUCUCAACUCAGAUGUUGCCUUUCAGUGAGACUUUCUUUGAUCACCGUAUUCAAAACAGCAAAAGCCAAAAUUCAAAACUCUGAUCCUUUGUCCUUUCUAUUCCUCUUCUCCAUAGAAUUUAUUACCAUCUAGUGUACUACAUAUGUUGUCAAAGUUUACUUAUUUAUUUUGAGAGAGAGAGAGAGAGAGCAUGAGCAGGGGAGAGGCAGAGAGAAGGAAAGAGAGAGAGAAAGAACCCCAAGUGGGCUCUGCACUGACAGUGCAGAGCCCGAUGUAGGGCUCGAACUCACGAACUAUGAGAUCAUGAACUGAGCUGAAACUGAAGAGUCAGAGGCUUAACUGACCGAGCCACCCAGGCGCUCCUGGUGCACUACAUAUUUAUUUGCUUAUUUUUCACAGUACCUCUCUCUCCACAGAAACUUAAGUCUCAUCCAAACAAUAAAUAUUUAUUGGAUGGAUUAACAAACUGAAUAUUUAUUGAAUAGCUACUAUGUGCCUAUUUUAGACACUGGUGGUAUAACAGUGAACAAAAAAUGACACGGUCCCUGCCCUCAAGCAGCUUGUAUUUUAGUGCUAGAGACAAACAAUGGACAAAUGAACAGUAUCGAUGUGGCGGGACAUUUUUAUCGCAAUACCCAGGAUUCGUGGUCUCGCCACUUCGAAGAAUGAAGAGGUGGACACAAAAUGAGCAGCAGGCAAAAGUUUAUUAGAGUAGAAGAUUAGAAAGUAAUAGAAGGAAAGCUCUUUCAUUGGAAAGUGAAUACCUAACGACUAAAGGCAAGGGUCCUUCUUUUAUAAGGUUCUGGUCCACCCUACCCCUUCUCUUCCCCCUUGUUCCUUCUCAGGUUCUAUCCUUAUUGGCUUGACAGCUAGUGUUGGGUUCUCCAUUCCUGACUGGCUCAUUUCCAUUGUAUGAGGGGUGGUCUAUGGCCAUGCUUGGGUCUUUUGUCAAAUUCCUGAGGGAAAACCUGAGGGGAGGUAGGUGGUUUCUGUUAAGAGGAACCUGACACCUGAGGGGGUUUGCUGUGGUCAGACACUCCCAGCAUUGUUCCAAAAUAUGUGUUUUUCCAUACCAAGGACCUCAGGCCCUCAUCUUUCCCUCUCUGCCUAUUUUAUCCUAUCUUUCCCUAUUAUAGUGAUAAGUGCUAUGAAGAAAAUAAAUCAUUUAAAAGGAUAGAGAGCAGUGAGAGUAUAAUUUUAGAUGGCAUGUGAGGGAAAUUCUAAGGCAGCACUUGACAAGAACCUUGAAUAACAUACAAGAGGGAGCCCUGCAGAGGUCAGAGGGAGAGAAUCCAGCAAGUACAGAGCUCCUGAGGCCAGGCCAGCUUGGCAUGACCAAGGAAAAGCAAAGCCAGCUCAUGGGGAGAGAGCAGGACAGGGUACAAAUGUUAAGACUGGUAGGCAGAGGUUGCAGUAAGAACUUGGGAUUUUUCUGUGACAAUAUGGGAAGCCGUUGGAGCGUUUUGAGCAGGGCAGCAGUAGGAAUCUGAUUCACAUUUUAAAGGCCUGCUUUGGUGCUGUGUGGAGAGCAGCCUCUGGAAGGGUGAGGCAGGGCAAAGGGAGACCCCUUAGGAGGUCACCCAAGUAUUCAGUGAGCACAGAAGUGGUGAUAGCAACAAAGGUGGAAGAAACAGUCAGAUUUGAAUACAUAUGUAUCACAGAUUGGAUGUGCUGAUGAAUUAGAUGUGAAAUGGGAGAGAAAAAGAUCAAAUGAUUAUCCAAGGUUUUGGCCUGGGCCCCUGGGGCAUAUCCUUUACCAAGAUGGGGAACCUUUGGAGGAACAGGUUUGGGGAAGAUGGUGUUUAAAUCGAGAUGACCCAGGGAGUGGAAUAUAGAGAAAUCUGAAGACUGGACCAUGGCACACUAAGGAAAAUGAGGAGGAAGAGACAAGAGACAAGGAGGGAUGCAAAAGACAUAGGACAGAGUAGAGUCCUGGAACCAAAUGAGGGGUGGCAAGGAGAUGUUUCCAGUGAGAGGGAAUGAGGGGCGGUUGGCUGGCUCAGUUCAUAGAACAUGUGACUCUUGAUCUCAGGAUUGUGAGUUUGAGCCACACAUGGGGUGUAGAGAUUACUUAAACCUAAAAUAAAAAAAAAAAAAAGAAAAAAAGAGGAACUGAUAAAUUGGGUCUAAUGCGAUUGAGGACUGAAACGUGAUCAUUGGAUUUGACAAUGAGGAAGUCAUCGAAGAAAUAGUGUCAGUGGAGUGGUGGGUGAGCAGAAAGCCUGAUGAUGGUGGGUCAGAAUGGAUCUGACAGACUCAGAAUCAAGUAGUACUAACGAGAGGCCUUGGGCAAAUAGUUAAACCUCUCUGCUAUCAGCUUUCUCGUCUGCUAAGGGAAAUAGUAACUCCUUGCUCAGAAAAUGUGGUAUAAAUUAAUAAGAAUUCAGAAAAUUUUGAACUAUAUGCAAAAUCAACCUAAAUGUUUUAAUGUUAUGUUUAAUGAUACAUGUUUUUAAAAAUGGGAAACAAAUAUAUAUUAAAGCCCUACUAUAACAUGCACUUUUCAUGUUUUUAAAAACAUUUUUUUAAGUAAUCUCUACACCCAACAUGGGGCUCGAAUUCAUGACGCCAAGGUCAAGGGUCACAUGCUCCAUCAACUGAGACAGCCAGGUGCCCUGCACUUGGCAUGUUUGAUCUUAUUUAAUUUUGAUUAAUCCAAAUAUAAACAUGCUAUAUAAAAAGACCGAAUAGUGCAGCUCUUCCUGCCCAUUGGUCUUGUCCUGUGCUAAUUUAAUAAAAACACCUUUUUCAGGGCCAUUGGGUGGCUCAGUGGGUUGAGCGUCCAACUCUUGAUUUUGGCUCAGGUCCUGAUCCCAGGGUCAUGAGAUGGAGCCCCAAGUUGGAUGCUGCGCUGAGUGUGAGCCUGCUUAAGAUUCCCCCCCCCUCUCUCUCUCAAAUAAAAAAGUUAAAAAAAAAACACCUUUUUGCACUAAAAAAAUUAAAAACUAAAAAUUAAGACCAGAAAGAAGUAACAGAGGAAAUGUCUCAUUUAAUGUUCUUCACGUGAUCCUGAACACUUCAUUUUAUUUAAUCAUUGAAAUGCUCAAAAUCUUUCUAAAAGGAUUUACAUCUGACUGUAAUCUGGACCUUUGAUAUUCAUUUUAGAGAAAGUAAACACCCACUUAGUAACAUUUUCAGAUAUGACGACCUUGUGGAAGUUUGUUCCUCAAAACCAAACAAAACAAGCUAGGGGUUCUUUUCUAAAGACAUGUUAACCAGUCUAGCUACGUACACAUCUCCCUAGUAUCAAUUUGUACAACUCGUAUUCCUUUCUGUGAUUCUGUUGGGUUUUACCCUGUUCCUUUGUAACACCAUGCUUCCUAGUAAAAGCUCCUUCCUCAGCCUCAGGGCCUUUUCCCCUGCCUUUUCUGACAAGGAGUGGCCCACCCGCCCCAGCCUCUACCUUCCAAAACCACCCUUUUCCUUUCUCAGGGUUUAGACACAGUGCUUUAUUUUUAAAGAACAUCCUUCUCCAACACAGACUUGGGAGGGAAACUACUCCAAAUUGGGAAGAGGGUUUUCAUCAAAGAAAGAUCUAAAAAGCAUCGUCUUAAAGGUUUUAUUUUUAAGUAAUCUGUAUGCACAACAUGGGGCUUGAAUUUACAACUCCGAGAUCAAAAGCCACAUGCUCAAGGGACGCCUGGGUGGCUCAGUUGGUUGAGCAUCUGACUUCAGCUCAGGUCAUGAUCUUACUGUUGGUGGGUUUGAGCCCCUCAUCGGGCCUUGUGCUGACAGCUCAGAGCCUGGAGCCUGUUUCUGAUUCUGUGUCUCCCUCUCUCUCUGCCCCUCUCCCACUCCCGCUCUGUCUCUCUCUCUCAGAAAUAAUAAACAUUAGAAAAAAAAAUUUUUUUUUAAUUUUUUUUUCAACGUUUAUUUAUUUUUUGGGGACACAGAGAGACAGAGCAUGAACGGGGGAGGGGCAGAGAGAGAGAGGGAGACACAGAAUCGGAAACAGGCUCCAGGCUCUGAGCCAUCAGCCCAGAGCCUGACGCGGGGCUCGAACUCACGGACCGCGAGAUCGUGACCUGGCUGAAGUCGGACGCCCAACCGACUGCGCCACCCAGGCGCCCCGAAAAAAAAAUUUUUAAGUCACAUGCUCUAUAGACUGAGCCAGCCAAGCACCCCUAAAAGACAUUGUUUCAAUUCUGCAUACUUUUGAGUACAAAUGUGUACUUUUGUUCCAGAAUGGAUAUUUUUGAGCAAAAAUACCAAACCUUGGGCACCUGGCUGGCACAGUCAGUUAAGCAUCUGACUCUUGGUUUCAGCUCAGGUCAUGAUCUCACAGUUCGUGUGAUAGAGCCCUAUGUCGAGCUCUUCUCUCUCUCUUCCCCCACCCCCCCAUAAAAUUAAAUAAAUAAAUUUAAAAAUACUAAACCUCUUCUCCCUGCUGCUUCUGAACCUCUGUCUUCCUUGUCCAACACCCUUUCACCAUUUGGCCUCGCUCCCAGACAAAGGCACCCUCCCAGACAGGGCAGUUUUAGAGGUGGGAAAUCAGGCAUGCUGAGGGUAGACUAUUUGAGUUCAGCCUUACACAUUGUACAGUGUGGUGGGAAAUAUACUGGCCUGGACACCAAGUGAUCCAGCUUCUAAUUCCAGCCCCAUUGGGGGACUCCGGCACAUCACGUGUUUAUCCAGGGCUUUAGUGGCCCUGUGUGGAGAACAUGGACCAGAAGUGCUGUCGGGUUCUUGCUAUCCCUGCUCCUCAGAUGAGGACACUAAGGCAUGGAGAUGGGAAGGUAUCGUGAUAGAUUCCUCUGAGGGUGUCAGAAAAGAGUAGACACUGAGGAUUAAUUCAUUGUUUGAUUUCUCUUGGCAAAACAGUGUAAGGAAGAAAAAUAGCAUCUUAGGACAAAUGAGGCUUUUCUUCUCAUGAAACCAAGUACAGAUGCUUUCUGAUUUACAAUGGUUUGACUUAAAGUCUUCUUUUUUUUUUUUUUAGUUUUUUUUAAUGUUUAUUUUUGAGAGAGAGAGAGACAGAGACAGAGUGUGAGCAGAGAAGGGUCAGAGAGAGAGGGAGACACAGAAUCUGAAGCAGGUUCCAGGUUCUGAGCUGUCAGCACAGAGCCCAACAUGGGGCUUGAACCCACAAACUGUGAGAUCAUGACCUGAGCCGAAGGCGGACACUCAACCAACUAAGCCACCCAAGCGCCUCUCAACUUAAAAUUUUCAACUUGACGCUGGUGUGAAAGCUAUACUCAUCCAGUAGAAUCUAUACUUUGAAUUUUAAAUUUGGGUCUUUUCCUGGGUCAGCGAUACAUGGUAUGAUCCUCUCUCAAGAUAGCAAGCAGAGGCAAUCACGGCUCCAACCAGCCACACGAUCACGAGUGUGAGCAAUCAACAUACUUAAAACCCUCUGUACCCACACAAUCGUUCUGUUUUAACUUUCAGAACAGUAUUCAAUAAAUUACACAGAUACUCAACAUUUUGGAUAAAAGUCUCUAUGUUUGAUAAUUUUGCCCAAUUAGAGGCUAGACUAAGCUAUGAUGUGUGGCAGGUUAGUGUGUUCAAAGUGUUUUCAACUUACAGUAUUUCCAAUGUAUGAGGGUUUAUUGGGACAUAACACCAUUGUAAGUGGAGGAAGAUCUGAAAUGGAAAUUUCAGACAUUUCUUGGAAAUGCUAGUAAAUAGAUUUCUUGAGUCAUUUUCAAGAUGGUUAUAUCUCUUGGACCUGGGAUUAAUGGGUCAUUUCUAUUUCCUUUUUAUCUUUUUAUGUGCUCUCUGAAUCUUUUACUAAUACAUAUUAGUUCUGCAAUCAGAAUGGGUACUUUAGGAGAAAAAAAAGAAGAAAAUGGCUUUAACCGUACAAAUGGAAGAGAACAGGAAAAAAACUUAAAAACUAAUAAUGAUGAAACUGACAUUUAUUACAUGUCAUUUAUUAUGUAUUGGACAGUAACUGGCUCAUUUACUUCCUCUCAACUCUGGAUAAGAAGCUAUUUAUUAUUACUUCCAUUUUGCAUAUAAGAAAAAUUAAGCAGAGAGGGGUCAAAUAGCUUCAGAAGUCACAGAGCUAGUAAAUUCAAUUGCUGGGACUUCACUUAGGUAGUCUAACAUCAGGGUCCUUCUAUUUAUCACCUGCCUCAUAAAUGAUCUAAAAAUGAGGUAUAAUCUUAUGUAACUUCAGAGAACAGAUUUUUCAUACUAAUUACAUUUUAUUUAGGUUAAUAUUCCCUGAACACACAUUAACAAAAGGCUGGAAGAAAGUGGUUUGAAACUAUGGUAGAUCUGUGAUGUAAUUUAACUCCGUGUAGACCAAUGGUUGUCUAUACAAUUAACUCUAGCACAGAGUUGGCUUAUCCACUCUGGUUUAUCCACUCUGGUUUAUGCCAAAUCUGUGCUACAGUUGACAACAUAGACAACCAUUGGUCUAUGCUGUGUUAAAUUAAACAAGGAGACUAUUAGACCUCGGUGGUUCUAAUGUCUUUUAGGCCUAAGUAAACCCAUAAAUAUCUCAAGGCUUAGAAAUCAAACUUGAGGACAACCAAUCACAAACAGCCAAUGAGUCUUUGUGAAUAAGACAAAUGCUUAAGCUACAGCUAAUCACAUGAUUUCCUUGCUUUGUUUCCACCUUUCCUUUGUAAGUCUUCGUAACUUCUGCUCCUAACCACCUCUGAUUUGGCACUGCCUUAAUCCCACUGAUUUUUGCUCAAAUAAACUCUGAAAAAUUGUGAUAUGCCUCAGUUUGUCUUUUAACGGCUCUGAUAUCUGGCUUGUUUUACGUAGGUACCUCAAAGAAAGUUGAAAGAAGGUGAUUCAAAUUGCCAGGAAGAGUUUGGGAACAUCCACACUGCCAAUCAGUUUUUUAAAACAAAAUUUUUAAAAAGGCAUAAUCUAUCCACGGAACAAGACUACGUCAGCACCACAAAUAAUCAAGGACAAAUCACACACAACGAAGGAAGUGCUCAUCACUGCUACCCGUUUUGUGCACACAAGACAGUCCCUAUCUCUCAACUAGGAACGUCAGCCACUUUAGGCUUUUGAAUGUUGGUCUUUCUCCUGUUGUCUUCUACCUACUGACUUUUCAAUCAGCUCUCCUCCUGUGGCCGGAUCCAUUUCACGGCAUAUCACUCCCACCUCAGAAGACUGGGUCACAGAAGUUAUUUCAGGACUCAUAAGUGAGCAAAGGCCUCAAGCUCAAAUAUUAGCUGAAUGACUGAAUAAUUACUAUAGGUAUGGUCCUCUGGACAAGCAAUCUGCCUAAUAUCUCAGGGAAGGAAAGGCCACAGAACUGCAAGCUGUAAGAGAGAUUACCUACACUAACCAAAUCAGGUUCUGACUGAGGAGGGUAAGGGAGUUCAGCAAAGCGAAAGAGACCAACUACCUCCAUUUUGACCUUCAUCUGUACUUGGUAAGUGAUUAAGUUCUUCUUUCCAGCUUGACUCUUAACUCUGGCAAAAGACCCUGCAGGCAAAGCAUUUUCUAAUGGGAACUGAAACUAUCCCCUCAAGCAAUAAGGACCACCCUGAGCCAGCAAGACUUGGCCCGUGACAGUGAUCAACCAGACCUUUACUGCCCACCCAUGCAUGUACCCACUGACUUUUGUCCCACAUUUUCCUCAUAUAAACCUGGGAGUAUCUUCAGCACUUUGGAGACAGUCUUUGAGAUGCAUGAGUCCCCUGUCUUCUUAGUGUGUUGGCCUCACUGAAAUAAAUUCCUGUCUUGUUUCACCACCACUCAUUUCUCUGCCUUUGGAUUUUGUCAGCAGUGACUGGCCAAACCUGGUCUGUUUAGGACCCCCAGAGCUAGGUGCUCUUGCACCCCUGUACCCCGGCUACACUGAUGGGUCAUUUCUGGACAGUCAUUGCCGCAUGAGAUUGGGGCUCUCUUUCUUGUCAGAGGGCCAGAAGUUUUCCAAGAUGGAAGAAGACCCCUCCCCUCCCAUUGUUUUCCUCCUCAGCCCUCACUUUCUGGUAUACGGUGCGUGUUGUAAGUGCAUAGUGGCGGAUCUCUGUGUUUUUCCUUUCCAGGUGGCGUAAGUGGCAAAGAAGGUGGGAACCAAUUCCUUCUAGGGAAAAGACCUGUCCAUCCUGUUCUCUUUUCCUCUGGUGUCUCUUCAACUUCCUGUCUUCCAUGUGACCAAUUUGGUAGUAAUAUUUGGGUUUAGGGUUAAGGAGAAGGAAGGGUCAUCCUUGCCAGAGCUCCCUGCCUCAGGGUUUCGCACACAAGCCCAGCAACAAUAAAUUAAUGCAGCCCAGAUUGAAAUCUUAUCACACUAUAUUUCAGAGCUGCAAAGAAAAUGUUGGAGAUGGAACUUUAAAAUCACCAAUUAAAGUAUUUUACUUUUCUAAUUUAACAUAGUCUCCUUCCAGGUAAUAACUCCCAGUAAGAGCUGUUUCUCUCCUUUUUUCUUUUUCUCCUUAAGUAGGUGUCUGGAGGUGGUACUUAGGUGACCUCAUGCUUGCCCAGAGCCUUGCUCUUUGGAUCAUCACCAGCCUGUGCCGCAAGAGUGCUAGUCUGGUCUUGUCCCUGAGCUGCCAGUCAGAAGGGCUGCUCUCCUGGCUCCCAGCUCUCAUGGCUGGCAGGAACUUUUCUUGCAUCAUCUCCCUCCUUCCCAAAAUGAAAUUUGUCAACACCUACUUCCCAGAGCCCUACUAGCAGAAUGGCCACUGGGAAACAUAAUUUAUGGGAGAGACGAAAACACAUAUAUGCACCCCCAACAUACCCUUUGUCACUUUAUGUUGCCUCAUCAUUGUCUGUUGUCUGAUUAUCACUCUGGGAACCCUGAGGGGGAAAGAGUCUGGAAUUUGGGGUUAUCCCAAAUACUUCAAAAGGUCAAGCUCUUAACAGGUAAUUUCUAGUAUUACUUCUACAUAUGGCAUUCUUUCUCAUUAUACUCUUAUACUCUCCUCAUGUACCCCAGGAAAACGUUCAGGGAUUUUCUGUUUUGCUUGCUGCUAUAACCCCAAUGUCUAAAUAGUACAUGGCACAGAGUGGGUGUUCAAUAAAUAUUUGUGGGAUGAGUGAAGGGUUGAUCACAUCUGCUGUGGUGGAUUUAUCCAGGUCAGCUCUCAGAGGGGAUCUUAUUUCCCUUACCUCCAGGUGGUCGCAGAGCAGCACACGGAAGCUGAUGUGUUGUCCACAGCGUGCGCCAGCUCAGAGGUAGUAGCUGAAGCAGUGGGGCUUGAUGAGGCCCCUCAGGAAGAGCAAGAGGGAGGACAAAUGGGGCCAAGAGUAGCCCAAAAGGAGCAGUUCUCAAACUUUUAAAUCUCAGAGCCCCUUUAUAGUUUUAAAAAUUGUUGAGGGCUCCCAGAAGCUCUCAUGGGUUGUAUCAAUAUUUAUUGUAUUAAAAUUGAAACAAAACUUUUAAAUAUUUAUUCAUUUGUUUAACAAAAAAAUCCACAUUACGUGUUAGGAUAAAUAACAUUUUCAUUUACAACAUAACUAUCUUUGGGGCACCUGGGUGGCUCAGUCAGUUGAGCAUCCAACUCUUAAUUUCGACUCAGGUCAUGAUUUCAGCAUCAUGUUAUGGAGUCCUAUGUAGGGCUCCAUGCUUAAUAUUCUCUCUCUCCUCUGCCCCUCUCCCUUACUCAUGAGUGCUCUCUAAAACAAAACAAAACAAAACAAAUGAAAUAAAAUGAAAUGAAAUGAAAUGAAAUAAAGUAAAGUAAAAUAAAAUAAAAUAAAAUAAAAUAAAAUAAAAUAAAAUAAAGCUAUCCUUUCCAAAAUAAAAAUCACUGAGAGGAGGGGCAGUUCUUUUUUGGCAAAUUGCCUAUGUCUGGCUUCACUUGAUCUUAGCCAAAAGGCCGAGAAGCGAUGCCUAUGUCUGGCUUAAUAGAAGGCAGCUGGAUUUCAUGUCUGCCUCUGUAUUCAAUCUGCUGUGAUAUGUUUUAGUUGAAAUUCGGCCUCAUACAGACACACAGUGGGAAAAGGAAGGAUCUUGGGGACUGCAGGGAUUCUCUGACCACAUUCUGAAAACUGCUGUCCUAAAACGAAAGGUGCUGUAGCAAUAAUGAUGAUCUCCGCUACAGAGCCUCCAGCCCUCCAGGGAGUCCAGACCCUGCUAUUAGAACAGAAUCCCUGUUUCUCACCCUCCUCCCACCAGCCUCUCUGCUUAGGAUUGCACAAUUCUUUAAUAAUGUAUAAAAUAGCUGACAGCCUUGAGCAGCAAAAUAUAAGUUCUUGGAGUAUGCUGGUCCUGGGUAGAAGGAAGCAUAACAGGCAUCUCAGAAAGGGGAUGAAGGAAAGAACACAUGCAUUCUUAGUAAGGAGAGAAAAGAGGUUAUGAAGUUCAGGCGCAUUUGCAGGCAAGUAUGUUUCAUAUUUGCACCCAGUGCCUGGGCUGAAAAAAGGAAACAAACAAUAAAGCUCAGCUUGCUGGGUGUGUGUGGAAGGAGCUGGUUCUCAGAGGGGGAGGAGCUGGCCUAUGCAAUUACAUUCUACUUCAGUAUCUUCUCAGGACUUGCUGGAGGGCCACAGCUUUAUCCCCAUUGGUUGAGGAGCUCAUGGAAAGAUAGUCGACUCUACCAGGUACAGUUCUAAGACCAGUCAAUUCUCAACACGGUGGAGUGGCCUUGCUACCACUGGUGGGAAGGCUUCAAGUAACGCUUUCUGUUUAUAAACCCUUCCUCCCAGGCUAAUACCAGCAACCACCACCUUCACUGUGUAUCUUGCUUACCUGCUUUACAGAGGGAAGGCACAGCCAACAGCUGUCACUCGCCCUCGCAGCCU
RNAcentral lists this long non-coding RNA (15423 nucleotides) under Lynx pardinus (Iberian lynx). The stretch from base 8397 to 8481 matches the Rfam family "tRNA". Lineage: Eukaryota; Metazoa; Chordata; Mammalia; Carnivora; Felidae. The record is from RNAcentral.